RNAcentral lists this transfer RNA (72 nucleotides) under Sphaerodactylus townsendi. RNAcentral's name for it is "tRNA-Thr". It matches the Rfam family "tRNA". Rfam says of the family: Transfer RNA (tRNA) molecules are approximately 80 nucleotides in length. Their secondary structure includes four short double-helical elements and three loops (D, anti-codon, and T loops). Lineage: Eukaryota; Metazoa; Chordata; Lepidosauria; Squamata; Sphaerodactylidae. The record is from RNAcentral.
GGGGUUGGGGCUCAGUGGAAGAGACUCUGCUUUGUGUACAGAAGGUCCCAAGUUCAAUCCCUGGCAUCCCCA